RNAcentral lists this long non-coding RNA (945 nucleotides) under Callithrix jacchus (white-tufted-ear marmoset). Its description in RNAcentral is "lncRNA (ENSCJAG00000082201.1)". Lineage: Eukaryota; Metazoa; Chordata; Mammalia; Primates; Cebidae. The record is from RNAcentral.
GUUAACCUGAGUGAGAAAUCUUCAAAGAACAGAAUUAACUUCACAGGGAGCUCUGCUGCCUGCCCGGAGCACAGUGUUCCUUGCUCUGUGUUCCGCCUGGAGCACAGUGUUCCUUGCUCUGUGUUCCGCCUGGCGCUUCUCACAUCAUGAACUUGGUUCUGGUUAUUUCUUUACUUCUCAAACUCCCAUGGAUCAUUCUUUCUCUGCAUUGCUUUUUCCAUGGACUGGACAUUGCUAGAGACUGAAUGUGUGUCUCUUCAAAAUUCAUGUUUAAAUCUAACCUCCAAGGUGAUGGUGUCAGGAGGUGGGGCCUUUGGGGGCUGCUGAGGUCAUGAGGGUGGAGCUUUUUGAACGGGUUUAGUACCCAGAGAGCUCUCUUGCCCUUCCACCGUGUGAGGACUCAGCAAGAAUGCGCUAUGGCCCCACCACGCAUCUAUGAACCAGGAAGUGAGUCCUCACCAGACACAGUGUCUCCUGGUGACUUGAUCGUAGGGUUCCAGAGGCUUCCAGAACUGAUUGGACCCAGAGUAACAGAACCUGGACCUCAGCCUCGUCCUGCCUGAGUGUAAAGCACAGGCUCUUCUCAUUAGUGACCUCUUGCUGCUUCCUGUUAUUUACAACCGUAAGCCCCCACUGUCAUGUGAAAGCAGUAUCAUUGUUUUUAUGAAGGAUUCUUUAUGGGUCUUGUUCAGGGCAGCCAAAGGACACUUGCAAGGUUAAGUCAGCAUUUGGGGGAACAACAUUUUCUAUCUCUGAAUAUCUGUUUGACAUCUGGUUUUCUGGGAUCUCAAAAUUUGAAGCAACUGGGACAGUUUUAAGCAGAGGCACAUCUAUAGCUAGAGAACUGAUCAGGAAAUCAUUUGGUUUAAGAAUUGGGUCCCUAAGAUCUCCUGAACCGUCUGUCACUCUUAGAUGGUGGAGGACACCUAGAACAGAGAACAGGAA